Molecule: long non-coding RNA, 990 nt
Organism: Rhineura floridana
Lineage: Eukaryota; Metazoa; Chordata; Lepidosauria; Squamata; Rhineuridae
Exons: 6
Source: RefSeq, a predicted model, not a curated record
UAGCAGCAGCAUUUCAACCACGAAGAGAGAGAAGGAAGUCCUUUGCAGGUGAAUAUCCCAAAGCAUGGACUGAGGACACAGGAUGCAACUACCUUGCUGAAGCUAAGCAGCAUACAGAAACAAAACUGAACAGAUAUACAAUAAUAAAGGAAUGUGCAGUUGGUUGUGAUUGUCUUUUCCGAAUUGUACUCUUGACUCUCCUUGUCAGCUAAUGUUCUGUGGGUGGAAGUAAUUAUGCCAGCCUUCGCCAGCCUGGUGCCGUCCAGACACUCUCGUUUCCAUCUCCUAUCAGCUCCCAUGGGAAUGGAAGUCCACCACAUCUGGAGGUUUUGUUAUAGCAUGUGCCUUUUUUGAAUCCUCAAUUAUCACACAGAGCAAGCAGAUGUGGGGCCGCUUGCUAGAAGCGGAAAAACUAUGGACUGAAAGAGGCCCCCUUUUCUUCUUUCUGGUUUCCUAAGCUGUGCCCGGAUCACUAUAUACAGGAAGUGUUUAAAUAAUCUGUUUGCAAGCUGAGGAACCUGGAAAAUUGCAGGACUUUUACACUGGCUGCAGCGGCUCGCGUGCCAGGCAUCCCAGUAUAUCAUGCAUUCCUGCCUUUUAGAUAGAUUGCUGUCUUCAAAAACUGAAAGGCUACCAUGCAGAAGAUGGAAUGGACUUGUUCUUUGCUGCUCCAGAGGACAGGAUUAGAACAAAUGUCUGGAGAUUGCAAGGAGCAGAUUUUGGCUAAGCGUUAGAAGAAACUUGCUAACGGCAAGAGCUGCUCAACAGUGGAACAGAGUGUCUUGAAAGGUGGUGGGCUCUCUUUCAUUGGAGGUAUUUAAGCAAAGGCCAGACGGCCAUCUGCCAGGAAUGUUAUAAUUAUCUCAUGUGCUUCAGAUCUGCAUUUUGCAGGGGAUGGGCUAGAUGACCUUCAAGAGCCCUUCCAACAUUGAUUCUAUGAACUGCUUUGUGUGUAGUAUUUACAGAAAAGCAGUAUACAAAUAAAGUGAU